AACGCGAAGAACCUUACCAAGGCUUGACAUACACCGGAAACUGGCAGAGAUGUCAGCCCCCUUGUGGUCGGUGUACAGGUGGUGCAUGGUUGUCGUCAGCUCGUGUCGUGAGAUGUUGGGUUAAGUCCCGCAACGAGCGCAACCCUUGUCCUGUGUUGCCAGCGGGUUAUGCCGGGGACUCACGGGAGACUGCCGGGGUCAACUCGGAGGAAGGUGGGGACGACGUCAAAUCAUCAUGCCCCUUAUGUCUUGGGCUGCACACGUGCUACAAUGGCCGGUACAAUGAGCUGCGAUGUCGUGAGGCGGAGCGAAUCUCAAAAAGCCGGUCUCAGUUCGGAUUGGGGUCUGCAACUCGACCCCAUGAAGUCGGAGUCGCUAGUAAUCGCAGAUCAGCAUGCUGCGGUGAAUACGUUCCCGGGCCUUGUA
Molecule: ribosomal RNA, 426 nt
Filed under: uncultured Actinomycetes bacterium
Lineage: Bacteria; Bacillati; Actinomycetota; Actinomycetes
Description: bacterial SSU rRNA
Rfam family: Bacterial small subunit ribosomal RNA
Source: RNAcentral